RNAcentral lists this ribosomal RNA (1333 nucleotides) under uncultured bacterium. RNAcentral describes it as "bacterial SSU rRNA". It matches the Rfam family "Bacterial small subunit ribosomal RNA", at positions 28 to 1382 of the family's 1533-position model. The record is from RNAcentral.
GACGAACGCUGGCGGCGCGCCUAACACAUGCAAGUCGAACGAGCGAGAGAGAGCUUGCUUUCUCGAGCGAGUGGCGAACGGGUGAGUAACGCGUGAGGAACCUGCCUCAAAGAGGGGGACAACAGUUGGAAACGACUGCUAAUACCGCAUAAGCCCACGGCUCGGCAUCGAGCAGAGGGAAAAGGAGCAAUCCGCUUUGAGAUGGCCUCGCGUCCGAUUAGCUAGUUGGUGAGGUAACGGCCCACCAAGGCAACGAUCGGUAGCCGGACUGAGAGGUUGAACGGCCACAUUGGGACUGAGACACGGCCCAGACUCCUACGGGAGGCAGCAGUGGGGAAUAUUGCACAAUGGGGGAAACCCUGAUGCAGCGACGCCGCGUGGAGGAAGAAGGUCUUCGGAUUGUAAACUCCUGUUGUUGAGGAAGAUAAUGACGGUACUCAACAAGGAAGUGACGGCUAACUACGUGCCAGCAGCCGCGGUAAAACGUAGGUCACAAGCGUUGUCCGGAAUUACUGGGUGUAAAGGGAGCGCAGGCGGGAGAACAAGUUGGAAGUGAAAUCCAUGGGCUCAACCCAUGAACUGCUUUCAAAACUGUUUUUCUUGAGUAGUGCAGAGGUAGGCGGAAUUCCCGGUGUAGCGGUGGAAUGCGUAGAUAUCGGGAGGAACACCAGUGUCGAAGGCGGCCUACUGGGCACCAACUGACGCUGAGGCUCGAAAGUGUGGGUAGCAAACAGGAUUAGAUACCCUGGUAGUCCACACCGUAAACGAUGAUUACUAGGUGUUGGAGGAUUGACCCCUUCAGUGCCGCAGUUAACACAAUAAGUAAUCCACCUGGGGAGUACGACCGCAAGGUUGAAACUCAAAGGAAUUGACGGGGGCCCGCACAAGCAGUGGAGUAUGUGGUUUAAUUCGACGCAACGCGAAGAACCUUACCAAGUCUUGACAUCCCUUGACGAUGCUGGAAACAGUAUUUCUCUUCGGAGCAAGGAGACAGGUGGUGCAUGGUUGUCGUCAGCUCGUGUCGUGAGAUGUUGGGUUAAGUCCCGCAACGAGCGCAACCCUUAUGGUCAGUUACUACGCAAGAGGACUCUGGCCAGACUGCCGUUGACAAAACGGAGGAAGGUGGGGAUGACGUCAAAUCAUCAUGCCCUUUAUGACUUGGGCUACACACGUACUACAAUGGCGUUAAACAAAGAGAAGCAAGACCGCGAGGUGGAGCAAAACUCAGAGACAACGUCCCAGUUCGGACUGCAGGCUGCAACUCGCCUGCACGAAGUCGGAAUUGCUAGUAAUCGUGGAUCAACAUGCCACGGUGAAUACGUUCCCGGGCCUU